RNAcentral lists this ribosomal RNA (344 nucleotides) under uncultured bacterium. RNAcentral describes it as "bacterial SSU rRNA". It matches the Rfam family "Bacterial small subunit ribosomal RNA", at positions 28 to 369 of the family's 1533-position model. The record is from RNAcentral.
GACGAACGCUGGCGGCGUGCUUAAUACAUGCAAGUCAACUUGACUUUAGAUAGCAAUAUCGAAAAGUAGGGUGGCGCACGGGUGCGUAACGCGUAGGUAAUCCGCCCUGAGGUCUGACAUAACCCGUCGAAAGGCGGGCUAACAUCAGAUGAUAUAUAAUCACGACAUCGUGGAAAUAUCAAAUCUUCGGAGCCUUGGGAUGAGCCUGCGUCUGAUUAGGUAGUUGGCGGAGUAAUAGCCCACCAAGCCUACGAUCAGUAGCUGGUCUGAGAGGAUGAUCAGCCACACUGGAACUGAGACACGGUCCAGACUCCUACGGGAGGCAGCAGUAAGGAAUAUUGCUC